This 460-nucleotide ribosomal RNA is filed under the name uncultured bacterium. RNAcentral describes it as "partial 16S ribosomal RNA". It matches the Rfam family "Bacterial small subunit ribosomal RNA", at positions 338 to 795 of the family's 1533-position model. The record is from RNAcentral.
CCUACGGGUGGCUGCAGUGAGGAAUAUUGGUCAAUGGGCGCGAGCCUGAACCAGCCAAGUAGCGUGAAGGAUGACUGCCCUACGGGUUGUAAACCUCUUUUAUCAAGGAAUAAAGUGAGGCACGUGUGCCUUUUUGUAUGUACUUUAUGAAUAAGGAUCGGCUAACUCCGGGCCAGCAGCCGCGGUAAUACGGAGGAUCCGAGCGUUAUCCGGAUUUAUUGGGUUUAAAGGGAGCGUAGAUGGGUUGUUAAGUCAGUUGUGAAAGUUUGCGGCUCAACCGUAAAAUUGCAAUUGAUACUGGCAGCCUUGAGUACAGUUGAGGUAUGCGGAAUGCGUGGUGUAGCGGUGAAAUGCUUAGAUAUCGCGAAGAACUCCGAUUGCGAAGGCAGCUUACUAAGCUGCCACUGACAUUGAGGCUCGAAAGUGUGGGUAUCAAACAGGAUUAGAUACCCUUGUAGUC